Cavia aperea (Brazilian guinea pig) is the source of this 135-nucleotide small nucleolar RNA. The record is from Ensembl. Lineage: Eukaryota; Metazoa; Chordata; Mammalia; Rodentia; Caviidae.
UAUGGCCCUUAUCGAAGCUGCAGCUGCUUGUAUGUAGUUGCUGCAGUCAAAAAGGAGCCCAGAGUAAGAAUUUUCCUUGACGGUCGCCGUUCUGUUUGCUGUAACCGAUCUGCAGCAUUUUGGGGAAAGACAGUU